GGAGCUGCAGCUCCAUGGCAGAGCAUCUGCUCUGUGUGCAGAAGGUUCCGGAUUCAAUUCCCGGCAUCUCCA
This 72-nucleotide transfer RNA is filed under the name Sphaerodactylus townsendi. RNAcentral describes it as "tRNA-Thr". It matches the Rfam family "tRNA". From Rfam's summary of the family: Transfer RNA (tRNA) molecules are approximately 80 nucleotides in length. Lineage: Eukaryota; Metazoa; Chordata; Lepidosauria; Squamata; Sphaerodactylidae. The record is from RNAcentral.